GGGGAAUCUUGCGCAAUGGGCGAAAGCCUGACGCAGCGACGCCGCGUGGGUGACGAAGGCCUUCGGGUUGUAAAGCCCUGUGGGGUAGAACGAACUGGCAUCGGGCUAAUAUCCCGGUGUCUUGACGGUACUGCCUUAGCAAGCAUCGGCUAACUCUGUGCCAGCAGCCGCGGUAAGACAGAGGAUGCGAACGUUGCUCGGAUUUACUGGGCGUAAAGCGCGUGUAGGCGGUCUCGUUAGUCGGGUGUGAAAGCCCCGGGCUCAACCCGGGAAGUGCACCCGAUACUGCGAGACUGGGGUACUGAAGAGGAGAGCGGAAUUCCCGGUGUAGAGGUGAAAUUCGUAGAUAUCGGGAGGAACACCAGUGGCGAAGGCGGCUCUCUGGGCAGAUACCGACGCUGAGACGCGAAAGCGUGGGGAGCAAAC
Molecule: ribosomal RNA, 426 nt
Filed under: uncultured bacterium
Lineage: Bacteria
Description: bacterial SSU rRNA
Rfam family: Bacterial small subunit ribosomal RNA
Source: RNAcentral